CUCCAGUUGAUCGCAUGGUCUUCUGGGAAAGCUUUCGCGGUAUGGGAUGGGGUCGCGUCCUAUCAGCUUGACGGCGGGGUAACGGCCCACCGUGGCUUCGACGGGUAGCCGGCCUAAGAGGGCGACCGGCCACAUUGGGACUGAGAUACGGCCCAGACUCCUACGGGAGGCAGCAGUGGGGAAUAUUGCACAAUGGGCGCAAGCCUGAUGCAGCGACGCCGCGUGAGGGAUGGAGGCCUUCGGGUUGUAAACCUCUUUUAUCGGGGAGCAAGCGAGAGUGAGUUUACCCGUUGAAUAAGCACCGGCUAACUACGUGCCAGCAGCCGCGGUAAUACGUAGGGUGCAAGCGUUAUCCGGAAUUAUUGGGCGUAAAGGGCUCGUAGGCGGUUCGUCGCGUCCGGUGUGAAAGUCCAUCGCUUAACGGUGGAUCCGCGCCGGGUACGGGCGGG
RNAcentral lists this ribosomal RNA (449 nucleotides) under uncultured Bifidobacterium sp. RNAcentral describes it as "bacterial SSU rRNA". It matches the Rfam family "Bacterial small subunit ribosomal RNA", at positions 173 to 640 of the family's 1533-position model. The record is from RNAcentral. Lineage: Bacteria; Bacillati; Actinomycetota; Actinomycetes; Bifidobacteriales; Bifidobacteriaceae.